AGUAACACGUGGGUAACCUGCCCUUCACUGGGGGACAACCGAGGGAAACUUCGGCUAAUACCGCAUGAUGUGCGUUGCUUCAAGGCGACGUACCAAAACUCCGGUGGUGAAGGAUGGGCCCGCGGCAGAUUAGCUUGUUGGUGGGGUAAUGGCCUACCAAGGCGACGAUCUGUAGCUGGUCUGAGAGGACGAUCAGCCACACUGGGACUGAGACACGGCCCAG
Molecule: ribosomal RNA, 223 nt
Filed under: uncultured bacterium
Lineage: Bacteria
Description: partial 16S ribosomal RNA
Rfam family: Bacterial small subunit ribosomal RNA
Source: RNAcentral